Long non-coding RNA from Notothenia coriiceps (black rockcod), 228 nucleotides. RefSeq lists it as uncharacterized. Lineage: Eukaryota; Metazoa; Chordata; Actinopteri; Perciformes; Nototheniidae. The record is from RefSeq and is a predicted model, not a curated record. The transcript has 3 exons.
ACAGAGUGUACUCACUGCAGUUUGACGGUGCGUUCGUGGUCAGCGGCUCGUUGGACACCUCCAUCAGAGUCUGGAACGCAGUGACCGGUGGCUGUGUGCACACCCUCACUGGUCACCAGUCCCUCACCAGUGGGAUGGAGCUCCGGGAAAACAUCCUGGUUUCUGGGAACGCCGACUCCACGGUCCGAGUGUGGGACGUAAGGAGCGGAAAGUGUCUGCACACCCUGC